Molecule: ribosomal RNA, 339 nt
Filed under: Triticum aestivum (bread wheat)
Lineage: Eukaryota; Viridiplantae; Streptophyta; Magnoliopsida; Poales; Poaceae
Description: partial small subunit ribosomal RNA
Source: RNAcentral
AUGUGUAUGGAAGAAUUGCCAGCAAACACAGCCUUCUCCAAUAAAAAAAAAUACCAUCCGUCUCAUUCCAGUCACACGGCUGUGUGGGUACACUUAUUCUUAAGCGUGGUUUCCUUCAGCUAUGCAGUCACCUCUUUGGGUUGCGAGAACUUGACACAUCUUAACAAACGUUACUGCCCACAAAAGACUCUGCCAACGACAAAACCAACAGAGCACAUUGCAAGAACCCAAACUAUAUAUGGAAGCAUAGGAAUUCUUUACCUUCUUUACCUUAAUCCAAAUCUUGCGAGUGGAAACCGCUCGUCAGGGAUAUCGAAAUCUUUCUUUGAAGAUGUUUAG